RNAcentral lists this ribosomal RNA (503 nucleotides) under uncultured bacterium. Its description in RNAcentral is "partial 16S ribosomal RNA". It matches the Rfam family "Bacterial small subunit ribosomal RNA", at positions 30 to 523 of the family's 1533-position model. The record is from RNAcentral.
AUUGAACGCUGGCGGCAGGCUUAACACAUGCAAGUCGAGCGGGGUGAUGGUGCUUGCACUAUCACUUAGCGGCGGACGGGUGAGUAAUGCUUAGGAAUCUGCCUAUUAGUGGGGGACAACAUCUCGAAAGGGAUGCUAAUACCGCAUACGUCCUACGGGAGAAAGCAGGGGAUCACUUGUGACCUUGCGCUAAUAGAUGAGCCUAGGUCGGAUUAGCGAGUUGGUGGGGUAAAGGCCUACCAAGGCGACGAUCUGUAGCGGGUCUGAGAGGAUGAUCCGCCACACUGGGACUGAGACACGGCCCAGACUCCUACGGGAGGCAGCAGUGGGGAAUAUUGGACAAUGGGGGGAACCCUGAUCCAGCCAUGCCGCGUGUGUGGAGAAGGCCUUAUGGUUGUAAAGCACUUUAAGCGAGGAGGAGGCUCUUUUGGUUAAUACCCAAGAUGAGUGGACGUUACUCGCAGAAUAAGCACCGGCUAACUCUGUGCCAGCCGCCGCAGUAA